GACGAACGCUGGCGGCGUGCUUAACACAUGCAAGUCGAACGGAAAGGCCCUGCUUUUGUGGGGUGCUCGAGUGGCGAACGGGUGAGUAACACGUGAGUAACCUGCCCUUGACUUUGGGAUAACUUCAGGAAACUGGGGCUAAUACCGGAUAGGAGCUCCUGCUGCAUGGUGGGGGUUGGAAAGUUUCGGCGGUUGGGGAUGGACUAGCGGCUUAUCAGCUUGUUGGUGGGGUAGUGGCUUACCAAGGCUUUGACGGGUAGCCGGCCUGAGAGGGUGACCGGCCACACUGGGACUGAGAUACGGCCCAGACUCCUACGGGAGGCAGCAGUGGGGAAUAGUGCACAAUGGGCGGAAGCCUGAUGCAGCAACGCCGCGUGCGGUAUGACGGCCUUCGGUUUGUAAACCGAUUUCGCCUGUGACGAAGCGUGAGUGACGGUAAUGGGUAAAGAAGCACCGGCUAACUACGUG
RNAcentral lists this ribosomal RNA (468 nucleotides) under uncultured bacterium. Its description in RNAcentral is "partial 16S ribosomal RNA". It matches the Rfam family "Bacterial small subunit ribosomal RNA", at positions 28 to 507 of the family's 1533-position model. The record is from RNAcentral.